Long non-coding RNA from Corticium candelabrum, 1195 nucleotides. RefSeq lists it as uncharacterized. The transcript has 3 exons. The record is from RefSeq and is a predicted model, not a curated record. Lineage: Eukaryota; Metazoa; Porifera; Homoscleromorpha; Homosclerophorida; Plakinidae.
CUCAACUCCAUAGUCCAUAUUCAUUGUUAGUACACCUAACUCUAUUUAUAGUAAUUCAAUAAUCGAUUGAAAUGAAUUGAGAAACUCCCGGAUAAAUACCUUGAGACUGCCCGAAUGUUUCUAGAAUUUUAUCUCUAACGUUUACGAUGUUCGAAAGAGGACGGCUAUUUAGUUAGCUUUGUUGUGAAAUUUACAGCUAGAGAUUGGGGCAGUCGCUCCCCUGUCACGUGACCCACUCGUUAUUUCCGCAUUAUUUCGUUCUCUGAUUUGCUGUCGGCGCUUUACGUCAUCAGUACUAGAAGAGAGAGAGUGUGUUGUACAACACGGUCAGACGACGGACGGUGAAAUAUGGAAUUACAUCCGGGACUUUUCAGAUUUCAUCCAUAUUUGGAAAGUUUCAUUGUGCUACAUUUCACACGACUUCUCGAUGACAUGCAGUGUGGCUGGCUAAUCCAUAUUUGUACAGAAUAGUCGCAUUUGUAGGUGGACGGUUAAUGAGGAGAUGGUGGAACAAACUGCCCGACAAGACACGAAGAAGAUAUGUUGGUGUGUUGUCAAAGAGUAGACAUUGGAUAUUUGUGGGUACUCUAGGAGCGUUUGCAGCUAGUGCUGGAUAUUAUGCGUAUCAUUUGGAAGAAGCGCCGAUCUCUCAUCGUAGAAGCUAGGUUUAUGGCUGUUGAUCAGAGUGAAAUGAAGGAAUGUGGAGAUUAUUUAUUCUCACUCAAAAUGGCAACAGCUCAAGACAAAAUUGUAUCUGCUGGUCUUCCCUACUAUGCAAGAGUUCUUGGUGAUUGAUUGUUUUAUACUACAGACGUGUUAUGACAUUUGUGAGAGUUUGGUUUUGUGGAAGCAUCUUGCAGUAUCCGAUGGAGAUAACCAACCGGUUGAGUGGCUAUCAAUGCACCCAAUAUUCUUUGACUUGAGAAUUCCCGACUUCAUCGAAUACAGAAAGACAUGCAAUUGUGAUGACUUGAAACACAGUUUGUGUUGCAAAACUCUCACACAUCAGAGUGGAUCAAUGACAUUCUGUAUUGCCUGUUGUGGAUCGACAACAAAGUUGUUGCUGUACACUACAAGAGUGCAUGUGUCAGCCCACAUAUACAUUAGGUGCAAUAUGUGACUUGCACUGGUGGUAUGUGCGGCUAUCAUUACACAGGACCUUGUUGGUCAAUCCUACUAAACUACGGUGUAAAGC